Molecule: long non-coding RNA, 387 nt
Filed under: Olea europaea subsp. europaea
Lineage: Eukaryota; Viridiplantae; Streptophyta; Magnoliopsida; Lamiales; Oleaceae
Source: RNAcentral
UAUAUGUAUUUGACUAAAUUCGGUAUAGGGGUUGCAUACAAAUAAGGUAGUGAUGUUAAGGAAGUGCAAGUGAUUUAAUGAAUUUGAUAAUGAAUGGUGAUUGGUUGAUAAAUCGUUAGAGAGAAGAAAAUUCGGGGAAUUUAUUCAAGUAUCGAGAAAUGGAGAUUCAAGAGAAAAUUUGAAAGUUGAGGAAUUAAGUGGUGACUUUGCAUUAGUUUAAUUGUUAUAUUUUAAUUUGAGUUAUUAUACUGUUAUUUCAGGUAAUGACGUGGAAGUUUGGAGAUGCCGGUUAAUUUAGCCAGAUUUUUAUCCAUAGAGCAGUGAGUGGAUAAAGUUUAUUCUCAGAAUUAAGUAUUCAUUAAAUUUAAAUUUCUUAUUUUAUAAAGU